UACGUAGGGGGCAAGCGUUGUCCGGAUUUAUUGGGCGUAAAGAGCGUGUAGGCGGUUAGGUAGGUCCGUUGUGAAAACUCGAGGCUCAACCUCGAGACGCCGAUGGAAACCAUCUAACUAGAGUCCGGAAGAGGAGAGUGGAAUUCCUGGUGUAGCGGUGAAAUGCGCAGAUAUCAGGAAGAACACCCGUGGCUAAGGCGGCUCUCUGGGACGGUACUGACGCUGAGACGCGAAAGCGUGGGGAGCGAACAGG
RNAcentral lists this ribosomal RNA (253 nucleotides) under uncultured bacterium. RNAcentral describes it as "partial 16S ribosomal RNA". It matches the Rfam family "Bacterial small subunit ribosomal RNA", at positions 524 to 776 of the family's 1533-position model. The record is from RNAcentral.